RNAcentral lists this ribosomal RNA (274 nucleotides) under uncultured bacterium. RNAcentral's name for it is "partial 16S ribosomal RNA". It matches the Rfam family "Bacterial small subunit ribosomal RNA", at positions 523 to 796 of the family's 1533-position model. The record is from RNAcentral.
AUACAGAGGGUGCGAGCGUUAAUCGGAAUUACUGGGCGUAAAGCGCGCGUGGGCGGCUACGUCAGUCGGAUGUGAAAGCCCCGGGCUUAACCUGGGAAUUGCAUUCGAAACUGCGUGGCUAGAGUCUGAUAGAGGGAAGUGGAAUUUCCGGUGUAGCGGUGAAAUGCGUAGAUAUCGGAAGGAACAUCAGUGGCGAAGGCGGCUUCCUGGAUCAAGACUGACGCUCAGGUGCGAAAGCGUGGGGAGCAAACAGGAUUAGAAACCCCUGUAGUCC